Molecule: ribosomal RNA, 743 nt
Filed under: Salmonella enterica
Lineage: Bacteria; Pseudomonadati; Pseudomonadota; Gammaproteobacteria; Enterobacterales; Enterobacteriaceae
Description: partial 23S ribosomal RNA
Rfam family: Bacterial large subunit ribosomal RNA
Source: RNAcentral
CCACCCUUUAAUGUUUGAUGUUCUAACGUGGACCCGUGAUCCGGGUUGCGGACAGUGUCUGGUGGGUAGUUUGACUGGGGCGGUCUCCUCCUAAAGAGUAACGGAGGAGCACGAAGGUUGGCUAAUCCUGGUCGGACAUCAGGAGGUUAGUGCAAUGGCAUAAGCCAGCUUGACUGCGAGCGUGACGGCGCGAGCAGGUGCGAAAGCAGGUCAUAGUGAUCCGGUGGUUCUGAAUGGAAGGGCCAUCGCUCAACGGAUAAAAGGUACUCCGGGGAUAACAGGCUGAUACCGCCCAAGAGUUCAUAUCGACGGCGGUGUUUGGCACCUCGAUGUCGGCUCAUCACAUCCUGGGGCUGAAGUAGGUCCCAAGGGUAUGGCUGUUCGCCAUUUAAAGUGGUACGCGAGCUGGGUUUAGAACGUCGUGAGACAGUUCGGUCCCUAUCUGCCGUGGGCGCUGGAGAACUGAGGGGGGCUGCUCCUAGUACGAGAGGACCGGAGUGGACGCAUCACUGGUGUUCGGGUUGUCAUGCCAAUGGCACUGCCCGGUAGCUAAAUGCGGAAGAGAUAAGUGCUGAAAGCAUCUAAGCACGAAACUUGCCCCGAGAUGAGUUCUCCCUGAGACUUUAGGUCUCCUGAAGGAACGUUGAAGACGACGACGUUGAUAGGCCGGGUGUGUAAGCGCAGCGAUGCGUUGAGCUAACCGGUACUAAUGAACCGUGAGGCUUAACCUUACAACGCCGAAG